GGGCCGGUUGCCUAGCCCGGAUAGGGCACCAGCCUUCUAAGUUGGACUUCGAGGGUUCUUGGCCUUUGAUUUCCAAAGGCCAGCCCAAAAGUCCCUCCCGGCCCGCCA
RNAcentral lists this transfer RNA (108 nucleotides) under Promethearchaeota archaeon. RNAcentral's name for it is "Candidatus Lokiarchaeota archaeon (microbial mat metagenome) tRNA-Arg". The record is from RNAcentral. Lineage: Archaea; Promethearchaeati; Promethearchaeota.